AGAGUUUGAUCAUGGCUCAGAUUGAACGGCUGGGCGGCAUGCUUACACAUGCAAGUCGAACGGCAGCGGCGGGGGCAACCCUGGCGGCGAGUGGCGAACGGGUGAGUAAUGCAUCGGAACGUAUCCUGUAAUGGGGGAUAACGUAGCGAAAGUUACGCUAAUACCGCAUACGCUCGAGAGAGGAAAGUGGGGGAUCGCAAGACCUCACGUUAUAGGAGCGGCCGAUGUCCGAUUAGCUAGUUGGUGGGGUAAAGGCCUACCAAGGCGACGAUCGGUAGCUGGUCUGAGAGGAUGAUCAGCCACACUGGGACUGAGACACGGCCCAGACUCCUACGGGAGGCAGCAGUGGGGAAUUUUGGACAAUGGGCGAAAGCCUGAUCCAGCCAUGCCGCGUGCGGGAAGAAGGCCUUCGGGUUGUAAACCGCUUUAGUCCGGGAAAAAGGGGUGCGAGGAUAAUACCCUUGUGCUUUGAUGGUACUGGAAGAAUAAGCACCGGCUAACUACGUG
Molecule: ribosomal RNA, 507 nt
Filed under: uncultured bacterium
Lineage: Bacteria
Description: bacterial SSU rRNA
Rfam family: Bacterial small subunit ribosomal RNA
Source: RNAcentral